GCCCGGCUAGCUCAAUCGGUAGAGCGUGAGACUCUUAUGGACGACUCCAUCAAUCUCAAGGUUGUGGGUUCGACCCCCACGUCGGGCU
Podospora conica is the source of this 88-nucleotide non-coding RNA. The record is from the annotation of a GenBank genome assembly. Lineage: Eukaryota; Fungi; Ascomycota; Sordariomycetes; Sordariales; Podosporaceae.